Molecule: ribosomal RNA, 691 nt
Filed under: uncultured Cryobacterium sp.
Lineage: Bacteria; Bacillati; Actinomycetota; Actinomycetes; Micrococcales; Microbacteriaceae
Description: bacterial SSU rRNA
Rfam family: Bacterial small subunit ribosomal RNA
Source: RNAcentral
GGGCCCGGACCUCGCGUAUGAUCUAGAUUCGCGGCCUAUCAGCUUGUUGGUGAGGUAAUGGCUCACCAAGGCGACGACGGGUAGCCGGCCUGAGAGGGUGACCGGCCACACUGGGACUGAGACACGGCCCAGACUCCUACGGGAGGCAGCAGUGGGGAAUAUUGCACAAUGGGCGAAAGCCUGAUGCAGCGACGCCGCGUGAGGGAUGACGGCCUUCGGGUUGUAAACCUCUUUCAGUAGGGAAGAAGCGAAAGUGACGGUACCUGCAGAAGAAGCGCCGGCUAACUACGUGCCAGCAGCCGCGGUAAUACGUAGGGCGCAAGCGUUAUCCGGAAUUAUUGGGCGUAAAGAGCUCGUAGGCGGUUUGUCGCGUCUGCCGUGAAAGUCCGGGGCUCAACUCCGGAUCUGCGGUGGGUACGGGCAGACUAGAGUGAUGUAGGGGAGACUGGAAUUCCUGGUGUAGCGGUGAAAUGCGCCGAUAUCAGGAGGAACACCGAUGGCGAAGGCAGGUCUCUGGGCAUUAACUGACGCUGAGGAGCGAACGCAUGGGGAGCGAACAGGAUUAGAUACCCUGCUAGUCCAUGCCGUAAACGUUGGGCACAAGGUGUGGGGGACAUUCGACGUAUUAUGUGGCGAAGCUAACGCAUUAAGUGAUCCGAAUGGGGAGUAAAUAAUCUGAUUUCGUGUACUU